GAUGAACGCUGGCGGCGUGCCUAAUACAUGCAAGUCGAGCGAACGGACGAGAAGCUUGCUUCUCUGAUGUUAGCGGCGGACGGGUGAGUAACACGUGGAUAACCUACCUAUAAGACUGGGAUAACUUCGGGAAACCGGAGCUAAUACCGGAUAAUAUUUUGAACCGCAUGGUUCAAAAGUGAAAGACGGUCUUGCUGUCACUUAUAGAUGGAUCCGCGCUGCAUUAGCUAGUUGGUAAGGUAACGGCUUACCAAGGCAACGAUGCAUAGCCGACCUGAGAGGGUGAUCGGCCACACUGGAACUGAGACACGGUCCAGACUCCUACGGGAGGCAGCAGUAGGGAAUCUUCCGCAAUGGGCGAAAGCCUGACGGAGCAACGCCGCGUGAGUGAUGAAGGUCUUCGGAUCGUAAAACUCUGUUAUUAGGGAAGAACAUAUGUGUAAGUAACUGUGCACAUCUUGACGGUACCUAAUCAGAAAGCCACGGCUAACUACGUGCCAGCAGCCGCGGUAAUACGUAGGUGGCAAGCGUUAUCCGGAAUUAUUGGGCGUAAAGCGCGCGUAGGCGGUUUUUUAAGUCUGAUGUGAAAGCCCACGGCUCAACCGUGGAGGGUCAUUGGAAACUGGAAAACUUGAGUGCAGAAGAGGAAAGUGGAAUUCCAUGUGUAGCGGUGAAAUGCGCAGAGAUAUGGAGGAACACCAGUGGCGAAGGCGACUUUCUGGUCUGUAACUGACGCUGAUGUGCGAAAGCGUGGGGAUCAAACAGGAUUAGAUACCCUGGUAGUCCACGCCGUAAACGAUGAGUGCUAAGUGUUAGGGGGUUUCCGCCCCUUAGUGCUGCAGCUAACGCAUUAAGCACUCCGCCUGGGGAGUACGACCGCAAGGUUGAAACUCAAAGGAAUUGACGGGGACCCGCACAAGCGGUGGAGCAUGUGGUUUAAUUCGAAGCAACGCGAAAAACCUUACCAAAUCUUGACAUCCUUUGACAACUCUAAAGAUAGAGCUUUCCCCUUCGGGGGACAAAGUGACAGGUGGUGCAUGGUUGUCGUCAGCUCGUGUCGUGAGAUGUUGGGUUAAGUCCCGCAACGAGCGCAACCCUUAAGCUUAGUUGCCAUCAUUAAGUUGGGCACUCUAAGUUGACUGCCGGUGACAAACCGGAGGAAGGUGGGGAUGACGUCAAAUCUUCUUGCCCCUUAUGAUUUGGGCUACACCCGUGCUACAAUGGACAAUACAAAGGGCACCGAACCCGCAAGGUCAAGCAAAUCCCAUAAAGUUGUUCUCAUUUCGGAUUGGAUUCUGCAAACUCAACUACAUGAAGUCUGGAAUCGCUAGUAAACCGAAAAUCACCAUGCUACGGGGAAAUACGUUCCGGGGCCU
RNAcentral lists this ribosomal RNA (1376 nucleotides) under uncultured bacterium. Its description in RNAcentral is "bacterial SSU rRNA". It matches the Rfam family "Bacterial small subunit ribosomal RNA", at positions 28 to 1381 of the family's 1533-position model. The record is from RNAcentral.